Molecule: ribosomal RNA, 248 nt
Filed under: uncultured Actinomycetales bacterium
Lineage: Bacteria; Bacillati; Actinomycetota; Actinomycetes; Actinomycetales
Description: partial 16S ribosomal RNA
Rfam family: Bacterial small subunit ribosomal RNA
Source: RNAcentral
GGGUGCCCGAGUGGCGAACGGGUGAGUAACACGUGAGUAACCUGCCCUUGACUUUGGGAUAACUUCAGGAAACUGGGGCUAAUACCGGAUAGGAGCUCCUGCUGCAUGGUGGGGGUUGGAAAGUUUCGGCGGUUGGGGAUGGACUCGCGGCUUAUCAGCUUGUUGGUGGGGUAGUGGCUUACCAAGGCUUUGACGGGUAGCCGGCCUGAGAGGGUGACCGGCCACAUUGGGACUGAGAUACGGCCCAG